Molecule: long non-coding RNA, 554 nt
Filed under: Gallus gallus (chicken)
Lineage: Eukaryota; Metazoa; Chordata; Aves; Galliformes; Phasianidae
Description: long non-coding RNA NONGGAT001054
Source: RNAcentral
GCUAGAUAAGACUGAUCAUACGAGAUACACCUGUGCUUUGUCUGUGAAAUUUGGACACCCAGGCUGAGGGCUCCCAGAGAUAUGGAAAUAGGCAGUGUUGGGAAGUUCCAUGAUGAGCACGGUCAUGCGUAUGUACUCUAGAAUCCCAGGCAUAAGGGAUUACCGUGAACACACUGUAUCAACAUAGAAGCAUGAAACAUGGAACUUCCUCUUGAUUUCCUUGGCCAGAGAGAGUCGCUGCAGUUCAGACAGAACAGUUCUGGCCUACUAGCUCAGCAGAGAAGACAACAGAGCACAGGUAGAAGAAAAAACCUUACCGUUUUAAAAACUGAGCCAAGGAAAUUGUCUCACACAUGCACAUUGAAAUCUUUACUGAUGCUUAAAGCUUAGUUCACUGGUACAAUGCUGACGUGGCUGGGUGGAGUCUUUGACAUCUCAUUAUCUCGACAUAAUGUCACAUUACUCUGAUGCACAUUCUGUUGUUAAAAUGUUAAAAUAACUCUUCAUUAUGUGAGAUACUACUGGUAUAUUUAAACAUCAUAGAGUCACAAAAC